This 280-nucleotide long non-coding RNA is filed under the name Nicotiana benthamiana. RNAcentral describes it as "long non-coding RNA (NBEN_LNC003939)". The record is from RNAcentral. Lineage: Eukaryota; Viridiplantae; Streptophyta; Magnoliopsida; Solanales; Solanaceae.
AACCAUAAGGGGACAUAAGCUAAAACACUAAUCAUCUAUGAGUGACCCUGCUAUCCCACACCCAACCCCGGGUGAGGCGUACGAAGAACUCUAUGAGCCUCUAGCCUACAACCCAGAUUCUAGACUUCCAGACUCCCCUAUCAAGGGUCAUGUCCACGGAAACCUGCAUUCUAGUCAUGUCCUGCCUAAUCACCUCUUCCCAAUGCUUCUUAGGUCUCCCUCUUCCUCGCCGACCGCCAACAAUCUCCAGCCGCUCGCAGCUCCUCACCGGGGCAUCGNN